This 468-nucleotide ribosomal RNA is filed under the name uncultured bacterium. RNAcentral describes it as "partial 16S ribosomal RNA". It matches the Rfam family "Bacterial small subunit ribosomal RNA", at positions 28 to 507 of the family's 1533-position model. The record is from RNAcentral.
GACGAACGCUGGCGGCGUGCUUAACACAUGCAAGUCGAACGGAAAGGCCCUGCUUUUGUGGGGUGCUCGAGUGGCGAACGGGUGAGUAACACGUGAGUAACCUGCCCUUGACUUUGGGAUAACUUCAGGAAACUGGGGCUAAUACCGGAUAGGAGCUCCUGCUGCAUGGUGGGGGUUGGAAAGUUUCGGCGGUUGGGGAUGGACUCGCGGCUUAUCAGCUUGUUGGUGGGGUAGUGGCUUACCAAGGCUUUGACGGGUAGCCGGCCUGAGAGGGUGACCGGCCACAUUGGGACUGAGAUACGGCCCAGAAUCCUACGGGAGGCAGCAGUGGGGAAUAUGGCGCAAUGGGCGGAAGCCUGAUGCAGCAACGCCGCGUGCGGGAUGACGGCCUUCGGGUUGUAAACCGCUUUCGCCUGUGACGAAGCGUGAGUGACGGUAAUGGGUAAAGAAGCACCGGCUAACUACGUG